This is a non-coding RNA of Vicugna pacos (alpaca), 2201 nucleotides long. NCBI's taxonomy places the organism in Eukaryota, Metazoa, Chordata, Mammalia, Artiodactyla, Camelidae. The record is from RefSeq and is a predicted model, not a curated record.
UGCCACGUGCUAUUUCUAGGUGUCUUCCUCCGCCCUCUUGUUCUCUGUUUCUGAUGGCUGAGCAGCAGGGACCGAGCCACUCUGGAAGGCACAUGUAGACAAGACCAGAGCCGCCGUCCACCCCCACGAUGCUGCCUUCCAACUUGGAACACAGACUGUCACGUGAGGGAGAAGUCAUCUUCAAUCUGGACCAGGCCUGGACCCCCGACAGCUGGACUCGCUCCUGCAUCUACAAUGGCUCCAUCACACCUCUGGGUGAUACUGUUGAAUAAGUACCCCGCACCAGGCACAGGAUUGGACAGACCCACCCCUGCCCUCCAGGUCCUCCCCACAGGGAGGGACGGAAAAGUAAACAGGCAACGACAAAGCAGCAAAACACGGUGAGGGUGAGGGAUGCCUUCACCAGGUGAGCGGGAGACAGAGGACUCACUCUGUGGCCUGUGGGGAGUCCACAGCAAAGGGACAAAAGUGGACGCAGGAAAGCAAUUUGGGAAAUGGCAAUAAACCAGGAAAGAAGGACAUAGUCUGAGUGGAUCUGGGGUGCGGGGAUGCAGAGGGGCCCAGCAAACAUCAGAGAUGCUGAAGAGGAGCCUCUGAGGACCUGAGACAAGCAUCCCCCAGACCCUCUGUCCAGAGCUCAAGGGCUGGCAGUACUUUCUAAGCAAGACCCAAGCCUUGGUGGUGUGAGCCCCAGCCUGGGUCCUCCUCUGGGCACAGGGGUGCUACAAGCAGGGGUGGAUGCCUGCCUCCCUCCACUUGCCAGGGUAACAAGGCUCAGAGCCACCGUGGCAAUCAGGAGAAACGAAGUCCUCCCAUGCCAGAGACGGCCGCAGAGACGUUGCCAUGGUAAAGGGGGACCAGCAGAGCAGCCUGCACUGGAAGAAUCGUCAGCAUUCAGACAGAAGUUGAACUUCCAAGGCUGGCGGGGGCACUGGACACACCCAGCUGCAUUCUGCUCCAACAGCACAUGGGAGGGAAGAAAGGCUCUUUGACUCCCAAACAGGCUUUAUUGUGGCCUCGGUUCCAAGUUCAACCGUAAGGACUCAGAGAGAAAAGGGGAAGUUGGGAGAGGUUAGAACGCACACAGUAAAGGGGCAGAACUCAGACUCACAAGCAGCUCACCAGAUUUCUAACCCCAAGAGGGAUGGGAGAUGAGAGACUGGCCUAAGGGUGUGUGUGGGGAGGGGGUCUGACAGGCAGAACUGAGGGCCCAGAUGAGAGGGGAGUACCCCAAGCAAAGGGAACAGAGCAAAGAAAAGGUUUAAAGAAUGAAAUUCAACACGAGAAACAUUUGGCCAUUUGUUUGAGUCGUCAGGUAGUUUAUGUUCCAGACGCUUCGGCUGCUAAGACUGCCCUGGAGGCUCCAUCUCUGAAACAAUUCCCUUCCUUGCAAGAUGGGGUUUAGGGACAGGGCCAUGGGACCUUGAGAUAAAUGUGGCACAGCCCCGAGGGCCCCGCGUGAGGUAGGGACAUCAGGUGGGUUCACGGGUCAGUAACAGUUCUGGGCAAUCUGCGUGAGGCACGGCCAGUACAGCAACAAGUGCGAGAGAGGACGCCCGGAACGGGCUCCCGCGGCGAUGCUCCGGCUCCCGGCGCCCCGCAAGCUUCCCCGCGAUCCCCACCGCCCUUCUUCAAUCCGGCGGGCCAGCGGCUGCGGAGGAAACGUGGCGCCGAGGACCAGGCGCGGUUUCCGGGUGGACCGCGCCCUCGCGCGGCCGCCUCCCGCAUGACAGCUCCGCCCGCGGGGCCCGCGGUCAGCGCAAGGGCACAGAGGCGGCCCGCCCGCUGCCUGCCGCGUCCGUCUCGGGCCCGCCAGGAGACUCCCCAUCCCGCUCCUCCCACUGACCCCGGGCCCCACUGUCCUCCAAACUCUGCUGCCCCAGCCAGCUUGACUUCCAUGAGGAAAAGGCCUUUUUAUUUCUAGUUCUCUCUGUUUACAGAAUUUAACGUUAUUUCUGUAAAACUAUUCAAAAAAUGGAAAAACACAAAAUAGAAAAGUUAAAAUUACCACAUAGCCCACCACCUAGAAACAACUUAAAACAUUUUUGUGACUGUUAAUAGCACACAGCGAGCCUUCUUUCUUCCCUCCUUCCUUUCCCUUUUUUCAAUGAAAAUUUUCAUGUAAAAGGAAUUCACAAAUAGAGGUACACCUGUAGGCAGAAUUUCACAACUGGUCAAAUUUUGUCCCUUGAUGCUGGACA